UACGUAGGGGGCAAGCGUUGUCCGGAAUUACUGGGCGUAAAGGGCGCGUAGGCGGCGUGUCAAGUCAGGCGUGAAAGCCCCGGGCUCAACCUGGGAACCGCGCUUGAGACUGGCAUGCUCGAGUUCGCGAGAGGAUGGUGGAAUUCCCAGUGUAGAGGUGAAAUUCGUAGAUAUUGGGAAGAACACCGAUGGCGAAGGCAGCCCCCUGGGCCAACACUGACGCUCAGGCACGAAAGCGUGGGGAGCAAACAGG
Molecule: ribosomal RNA, 253 nt
Filed under: uncultured bacterium
Lineage: Bacteria
Description: partial 16S ribosomal RNA
Rfam family: Bacterial small subunit ribosomal RNA
Source: RNAcentral